This 373-nucleotide long non-coding RNA is filed under the name Musa acuminata (dwarf banana). RNAcentral describes it as "long non-coding RNA (MACU_LNC002904)". Lineage: Eukaryota; Viridiplantae; Streptophyta; Magnoliopsida; Zingiberales; Musaceae. The record is from RNAcentral.
GAAGGCUCCAUUUCCCGAUCUCGAAGAGUUGGGAAACCCUAGAGAUGGCGAUCGCGGCUUUCCGUCGGAUCCCUCUCCACCUCGCGCGAUCUCAUCCCCCACUCUCCCUCCGGCCCCUCGCCCGCUCCUGCUCAUCGUCCUCCCCGGCCCCCUCAUCUGGCUCCAGGAAGGUCGCCGACCGGAUCGUGAAGCUGUUCGCUGUCGAUCCCGAGGGGAGCAAGCACGAGGUCAUCGGCCUCGCCGGGCAGACCCUCCUCCGCGCCCUGAUCAACGCCGGCCUCAUCGACCCGGCGUCGCACCGCUUGGAGGACAUAGAGGCCUGCUCAGCCGAAUGCGAGGUCCACAUCUCCCAGGAGUGGCUCGACAAGCUCCC